UGCGUAGGUGGCGUGGUAAGUCGGGUGUGAAAUUUCGGAGCUUAACUCCGAAACUGCAUUCGAUACUGCCGUGCUUGAGGACUGGAGAGGAGACUGGAAUUUACGGUGUAGCAGUGAAAUGCGUAGAGAUCGUAAGGAAGACCAGUGGCGAAGGCGGGUCUCUGGACAGUUCCUGACACUGAGGCACGAAGGCUAGGGGAGGCAAACG
Molecule: ribosomal RNA, 208 nt
Filed under: uncultured bacterium
Lineage: Bacteria
Description: partial 16S ribosomal RNA
Rfam family: Bacterial small subunit ribosomal RNA
Source: RNAcentral